This 57-nucleotide transfer RNA is filed under the name Exiguobacterium sp. Leaf187. RNAcentral describes it as "tRNA-Ser". It matches the Rfam family "tRNA", at positions 19 to 71 of the family's 71-position model. From Rfam's summary of the family: Transfer RNA (tRNA) molecules are approximately 80 nucleotides in length. Their secondary structure includes four short double-helical elements and three loops (D, anti-codon, and T loops). Lineage: Bacteria; Bacillati; Bacillota; Bacilli; Caryophanales. The record is from RNAcentral.
UAGAGCAUCUGACUUUUAAUCAGAGGGUCGCAGGUUCGAAUCCUGCAUGACACACCA